UACAGAGGUCCCGAGCGUUGUCCGGAAUCAUUGGGCGUAAAGAGCGUGUAGGCGGUCCGGUAAGUCCGCUGUGAAAGUCCAGGGCUCAACCCUGGAAUGCCGGUGGAUACUGUCGAGCUAGAGUCCGGAAGAGGCGAGUGGAAUUCCUGGUGUAGCGGUGAAAUGCGCAGAUAUCAGGAGGAACACCAAUGGCGAAGGCAGCUCGCUGGGACGGUACUGACGCUGAGACGCGAAAGCGUGGGGAGCAAACAGG
RNAcentral lists this ribosomal RNA (253 nucleotides) under uncultured bacterium. RNAcentral's name for it is "partial 16S ribosomal RNA". It matches the Rfam family "Bacterial small subunit ribosomal RNA", at positions 524 to 776 of the family's 1533-position model. The record is from RNAcentral.